This 749-nucleotide ribosomal RNA is filed under the name uncultured Fusobacterium sp. RNAcentral describes it as "bacterial SSU rRNA". It matches the Rfam family "Bacterial small subunit ribosomal RNA", at positions 28 to 776 of the family's 1533-position model. Lineage: Bacteria; Fusobacteriati; Fusobacteriota; Fusobacteriia; Fusobacteriales; Fusobacteriaceae. The record is from RNAcentral.
GACGAACGCUGGCGGCGUGCUUAACACAUGCAAGUCGAACGGGCCCGCUCUUUUUUGGGGGCGGGUUGAGUGGCGAACAGGUGAGUAUCACGUGAGCAACCUGCCCUCCUCUCCUGGAUAACCGCUUGAAAGGGCGGCUAAUACGGGGUGUUCCGGUUGGUCCGCAUGGGCUGGUCGGGAAAGGUUCAUCGUUGUGGUGUUUCGGUGGGGGAUGGGCUCGCGGCCUAUCAGCUUGUUGGCGGGGUGAUGGCCCACCAAGGCGGCGACGGGUAGCCGGCCUGAGAGGGUGGGCGGCCACAAGGGGACUGAGACACGGCCCUUACUCCUACGGGAGGCAGCAGUGGGGAAUAUUGGACAAUGGACCAAGAGUCUGAUCCAGCAAUUCUGUGUGCACGAUGAAGUUUUUCGGAAUGUAAAGUGCUUUCAGUUGGGAAGAAAAAAAUGACGGUACCAACAGAAGAAGCGCCGGCUAACUACGUGCCAGCAGCCGCGGUAAUACGUAGGGCGCGAGCGUUGUCCGGAAUUAUUGGGCGUAAAGAGCUCGUAGGCGGCUGGUCGCGUCUGUCGUGAAAUCCUCUGGCUUAACUAGGGGCUUGCGGUGGGUACGGGCCGGCUUGAGUGCGGUAGGGGAGACUGGAACUCCUGGUGUAGCGGUGGAAUGCGCAGAUAUCAGGAAGAACACCGGUGGCGAAGGCGGGUCUCUGGGCCGUUACUGACGCUGAGGAGCGAAAGCGUGGGGAGCGAACAGG